CCGCACGGGUGAGUAACGCGUAUGCAACUUGCCUAUCAGAGGGGGAUAACCCGGCGAAAGUCGGACUAAUACCGCAUGAAGCAGGGAUCCCGCAUGGGAAUAUUUGCUAAAGAUUCAUCGCUGAUAGAUAGGCAUGCGUUCCAUUAGGCAGUUGGCGGGGUAACGGCCCACCAAACCGACGAUGGAUAGGGGUUCUGAGAGGAAGGUCCCCCACAUUGGUACUGAGACACGGACCAA
This 237-nucleotide ribosomal RNA is filed under the name uncultured bacterium. Its description in RNAcentral is "partial 16S ribosomal RNA". It matches the Rfam family "Bacterial small subunit ribosomal RNA", at positions 98 to 334 of the family's 1533-position model. The record is from RNAcentral.